Molecule: ribosomal RNA, 103 nt
Filed under: Chelonoidis abingdonii (Abingdon island giant tortoise)
Lineage: Eukaryota; Metazoa; Chordata; Testudines; Testudinidae
Source: RNAcentral
GCCUACGGCCAUACUGGACCAAAUGCACCUGAUCCUGUCCGAUCUUGGAAGGUAAACCAUCCCGAUGGGACUAGUCUGGUGCCUUUCCCUGCAGGGGUGGGCA